This 381-nucleotide long non-coding RNA is filed under the name Androctonus crassicauda. Lineage: Eukaryota; Metazoa; Arthropoda; Arachnida; Scorpiones; Buthidae. The record is from RNAcentral.
AAUUACAUUAAUAAUCAUUUUAAUCACAGUUGAAUUGGGUCGACCGACGAAAACAAAAUAAGGCUACGGGCCAUGCAGACGUGAAUUUAGAGCGUCUUACCAAUUUCUUAUGUCAUUGAAUUUGCAAGCUAUGUUUAGUGAACAAAUUUUUAAGUUCUCACUCUUGCCAUAUGUGAUUAUACAGAAAGCAAACAAUAUCAGAUACGACAGAGAAAUGUAUUUUUACUCUCGUGUGCGCGAUAUUUUGAGUUUCCCACAUCUGCAUGAUCGCACCUGCACGAGCAUGAUGAUGUCAGAAAUCACUCAUAGCUCUAAAUUCGUGUCUGCAUGGCCGUAGCCUAAGAUCCCUUUGCUUAGAUAUCAAUAAGUUCAGUUACAGCC